UUUCAAUUAUUUUCACCUGAAAUUGAGAAAGAGAAGCGGCAGCAGCUGUUGGUGUUGGUCCGAGAGAUUAAGAGAGAAGAUAAAGAAGAGAUAGAUCUGAGGAGGAUGGGAAUCAUUGUUCUGUUACUACAGUUGUUGUUGCCACAAUACAUGAAGAAUGGCUCUAUUAUUGUUCGACACAGAAGAACUGUUGAAGAAAUUGAUGUGGAAUUAGGGUUUGGUGAAGAUGAGUGUUUGAAGAAUCUGAUGAUGAUUAUGGCUGAAUUGAGAGUUGAAUAAUCUUGGGUUAAUGUUAAAUUUCAGAAAUCCACGAAGAAAAGAAGAAGAAAGAACGGUUUUUGUGUGUUGAGUGGAUGAGAAGGUAUAAAGAUUAAAGAAGUUGUUGCCAGAGAAUGGUAUUGUUGGGUGCUAUACAGGGAGAAGGUGGUGAUGAUGCAGGGAAGCUACAUGAUUGAGGUGCUGCUGCUGAGAAGAAGUUCGAGUUUAAAUGUUUGAUGUUGUUGCCGUUGCUGUUGAGAUGAAUCAGAAGAAGAAAUGGGUUUGUCUGUGAGUUGAUACAGAUGAAGUAUGUAAUGGUUUUGGAGCUACAGGGAAUGUGUUGUGAACUGUGGUUUGACUUGCAGGUAGAAGAACUUGCAGAUUGAGAUGGUGGUUACACUGGGUUUGGAUGCCAGUGGAGAUGUGGCUAGUGGUGUUGUUCAAUUACAGAAGACAGAGAUAGCAGCGCAGGUGUUGUGUGUUGCUUGAAUGGAUGCAAUGAACUGAAUUGCAGAUAUGGGGUGCAGCUACAAAUGUGUUUGUUCAAAGAAGCUACAAAGGAUGCAGUGAGAAUUCAGGUGUAACUCAGCUGGUCUUGCUGAUACUGUUGAUGUUGUUGUUAAUGGAACCAAGGUUUUGAAUCUGGGGUUGAGACUGAACUGAUGUUCGAAGUGAUUCUGUGAAUAAAGAGAUGGAGAUGAAUGACUGAGCUACAGAUGGAAGGAAUGUUGUUGCAAUUGGUGUGGCUCUGGUGCAAGGGAGAAAUACUGGUUGAUGCUGUUGCUUUUGUUGGUGGUGAACAAGAAAUUGGCCAUGGGCUGAAGGCAGUGAGAAUGAGCUGCAAUUGCAGACCGGGCGGACUUUGCAAGUCACCUGAGACGUUUUCCGGCCAAUUUCCGGCGACACUUUUUGGACAAAUUUUCUACAUGGGCUCUUCACACACAUGGCUUGGUGGACUUCUUGGUGAUGGGCUUUUGAGAUAUGACCUAGUUUUGGAACGGAGAAAAGCUACAAAAAGAAAAGUUUUCGACUUUCUUUUAAUCACGUAUUAUUAUUGGAGCUUUGGGUAGAUAGCCGCGACUAGGGUUUGCUUUCAUUUAUUUUUCAUCUUCUUCAAUUUAUUUUUGAUUAUGAUUAUGGUGAACUCUAAAUCUAUGAGUAGCUAAAUACUAUUAUUGGUUAUGGGAUAAAAGUUGAUUUCUCAAGCAUGAUAUUUAAAUCAAUGAAUUAGUUUUGUCUCAA
This is a long non-coding RNA of Papaver somniferum (opium poppy), 1500 nucleotides long. RefSeq lists it as uncharacterized. The transcript is spliced from 2 exons. The record is from RefSeq and is a predicted model, not a curated record. Lineage: Eukaryota; Viridiplantae; Streptophyta; Magnoliopsida; Ranunculales; Papaveraceae.